UGGACUUGUGUGCAAGUUUUAUUCACUUGCAUGCAAUGUUCAUCCUCAUACCUCUUGCGUCAAUUAAAGGGAGCAAACAUCAAUUGCAUCAAAAGCAAGGGUUGGAAGUUGAAGUGAAGAAUCAAUCUAGCUUUCAUGACAAAAAUUUAGGCUUAUUGGCAAAGGUCAUUGCAGCUUUGGAAUGAGAAGGUGAGAAGAAUAUUUCACUUGGUCAAGUUGCAUAGGAGAUGAGGCCUUGGAAUCAAUAAUUGAAGAAGAUCACAUAAAGAGCAUGAAAUGAAUCUUGCAUGUAGCUAAGAAAUGAUGAAAGGUUAUCAUCCUCAUCAUCUACAAAUUUCUAAAGGCGGGUUUCCUCUCCCUUAGGUUAUGAUAUUUAGUAGAGAUGCAUGUUGUAGUGUAAAACCAUGAUUUAUGACGCGGUGAAUGCAUGUUAGAGUUUAGGAUCGAUGGUUUGAUAUACUGAGGAUUGGUGUUGUUUCAUGUGUUUUUUGGUAUCCUGAUUAUGCCUAGAUGUUAAGUAUUAAUUAGGUUUCUCUACUGUAAAACUGCUAAUUUUGGAAAUUUGGUGCCUUUAUUCGAAACAAGGAAUUUUUCUAAUUCAAA
RNAcentral lists this long non-coding RNA (603 nucleotides) under Lathyrus oleraceus (garden pea). RNAcentral's name for it is "Pisum sativum (pea) long non-coding RNA (PSAT_LNC005246)". The record is from RNAcentral. Lineage: Eukaryota; Viridiplantae; Streptophyta; Magnoliopsida; Fabales; Fabaceae.